AGAAGGAUCAAACAUUAUUCAAAACACACACCUUAAUCAUUAUUCUUAACAAUUAACAAAAAAACUCAUUACUUAGGAGUGGAAACUACACAACGCUCUUCUAUGAAGUGUAUGAAGAUAAAUAUAUCAUCAUUAUAAAAUUAUUAAUGAUGUACAUGAAUAUUCACUGCGAAGAGACUUUUCUAAAUAAGCGUCACUUUUAUUAAAGUGUCAAUUAUUAAAAAAAAACUUUUAUUCGUCCUUCGCCAGUGUUAGGCUAAUCAUUUAACUUAAGCAUAUCAUUAAAUGAUUAAUAAAAUCAAAGAGAGUUACAAAGUAUAGGCGAUUGAAAUGUAACAAAUAUGCUAAGAAUCUUAGUUGUUUAGCAUAGCAUCAUCUCAAAAAAUGCUCUAGUCAGCAUACCAAAGAAAAUACAAGUUUCUUAUGAGAUGAAUGUAAUUAAAUUAAAUAACACUUUUUGGAAGUAAAGUGCAAAACGAUAUAUAUUUAUCGUAAUAUUAAAAGAGAGCGGUUAGUGAUAGCAUACAAGUACUGUAAAGGAAAGUUGAAAAAUACUUUUAAAUGAGGAUGAAAAUGAAACUUCUAAGUUGAAAGCCUUACUCUGUAAGGGCCCGUCUUGAAACACGGAUCAAGGAGCUAAAAAAACAUAACAAUUCAUUCGUUUAAGCGAAAUGAAAUGAAAAUAUUCAAUUAUGGUUUUUUAAACCCGAAAGGUGAUGAUCUACACUUGAAAAGAAUGAAGUCAGGGGAAACUCUGAUGGAAGUUCGAAGUUGUGCUGACGUGCAAAUCGCUAAUCAUAUUUGAGUGUAGGGGCGAAAGACCAAUCGAAUCACCUAGUAGCUGGUACUCUC
Molecule: unclassified non-coding RNA, 852 nt
Filed under: uncultured fungus
Lineage: Eukaryota; Fungi
Description: sequence contains 18S rRNA gene, ITS1, 5.8S rRNA gene, ITS2, 28S rRNA gene
Rfam family: Eukaryotic large subunit ribosomal RNA (bases 237-852)
Source: RNAcentral